CCUAGGGGAGGCAGCAGUGGGGAAUAUUGCACAAUGGGCGCAGGCCUGAUGCAGCCAUGCCGCGUGUAUGAAGAAGGCCUUCGGGUUGUAAAGUACUUUCAGCGGGGAGGAAGGUGUUGUGGUUAAUAACCGCAGCAAUUGACGUUACCCGCAGAAGAAGCACCGGCUAACUCCGUGCCAGCAGCCGCGGUAA
Molecule: ribosomal RNA, 193 nt
Filed under: uncultured Cronobacter sp.
Lineage: Bacteria; Pseudomonadati; Pseudomonadota; Gammaproteobacteria; Enterobacterales; Enterobacteriaceae
Description: partial 16S ribosomal RNA
Rfam family: Bacterial small subunit ribosomal RNA
Source: RNAcentral